RNAcentral lists this ribosomal RNA (503 nucleotides) under uncultured bacterium. Its description in RNAcentral is "partial 16S ribosomal RNA". It matches the Rfam family "Bacterial small subunit ribosomal RNA", at positions 30 to 523 of the family's 1533-position model. The record is from RNAcentral.
AUUGAACGCUGGCGGCAGGCAUAACACAUGCAAGUCGAGCGGGGUGAUGGUGCUUGCACUAUCACUUAGCGGCGGACGGGUGAGUAAUGCUUAGGAAUCUGCCUAUUAGUGGGGGACAACAUCUCGAAAGGGAUGCUAAUACCGCAUACGUCCUACGGGAGAAAGCAGGGGAUCACUUGUGACCUUGCGCUAAUAGAUGAGCCUAGGUCGGAUUAGCUAGUUGGUGGGGUAAAGGCCUACCAAGGCGACGAUCUGUAGCGGGUCUGAGAGGAGGAUCCGCCACACUGGGACUGAGACACGGCCCAGACUCCUACGGGAGGCAGCAGGGGGGAAUAUUGGACAAUGGGGGGAACCCUGAUCCAGCCAUGCCGCGUGUGUGAAGAAGGCCUUAUGGUUGUAAAGCACUUUAAGCGAGGAGGAGGCUCUUUUGGUUAAUACCCAAGAUGAGUGGACGUUACUCGCAGAAUAAGCACCGGCUAACUCUGUGCCAGCCGCCGCAGUAA